UACAGAGGUGGCAAGCGUUGUUCGGAUUUAUUGGGCGUAAAGGGUUCGUAGGCGGUUUGAAAAGUCAGAUGUGAAACCCCACUGCUUAACUGUGGAACUGCAUUUGAAACUUUCAGACUAGAGUAUGAGAGGGGUAAAAGGAAUUCCCGGUGUAAGGGUGAAAUCUGCAGAGAUCGGGAGGAACACCAGUCGCGAAGGCGUUUUACUGGCUCAUUACUGACGCUCAGGAACGAAAGCUAGGGUAGCAAACGGG
This 253-nucleotide ribosomal RNA is filed under the name uncultured bacterium. RNAcentral's name for it is "partial 16S ribosomal RNA". It matches the Rfam family "Bacterial small subunit ribosomal RNA", at positions 524 to 776 of the family's 1533-position model. The record is from RNAcentral.